UACGGGGGGGGCGAGCGUUGUUCGGAAUUACUGGGCGUAAAGGGCUCGUAGGCGGCCAACUAAGUCAGACGUGAAAUCCCUCGGCUUAACCGGGGAACUGCGUCUGAUACUGGAUGGCUUGAAUCCGGGAGAGGGAUGCGGAAUUCCAGGUGUAGCGGUGAAAUGCGUAGAUAUCUGGAGGAACACCGGUGGCGAAGGCGGCAUCCUGGACCGGGAUUGACGCUGAGGAGCGAAAGCCAGGGGAGCAAACGGG
Molecule: ribosomal RNA, 253 nt
Filed under: uncultured bacterium
Lineage: Bacteria
Description: partial 16S ribosomal RNA
Rfam family: Bacterial small subunit ribosomal RNA
Source: RNAcentral